Molecule: long non-coding RNA, 342 nt
Organism: Alligator sinensis (Chinese alligator)
Lineage: Eukaryota; Metazoa; Chordata; Crocodylia; Alligatoridae
Exons: 3
Source: RefSeq, a predicted model, not a curated record
UUGAUGUAUGAUCCAAAUUUGAAUCUCUUUAAUUGAAGUUUAAACCUGGAUCAGCUUGGGCAAUUUGGUUUUUUUUCUAACUCAGCUAAGACCAAGGAUCAACAAACAUCCCAAGAAAGGACUCUCCUAGGCAUUUCCAGGCUCAAAUUUAUCCAAGAGGCAUUAUGCCUUGAUCUUCAUUCCUAUUUGCUUGCUGGCCCUGUGGAUUGCAAUCUCAUAUUAUAUCUCAUAUCUCAGCUUAUGCUGUACCCAAGAAGUCAUCAGCGUAUAUGAUGUUACUAACAUAUGCUUCAUUUACCUGUAUGACUUGGUCAGACUUCAUCCUGUUCCCGAUGGUCCUCU